RNAcentral lists this ribosomal RNA (424 nucleotides) under uncultured bacterium. Its description in RNAcentral is "bacterial SSU rRNA". It matches the Rfam family "Bacterial small subunit ribosomal RNA", at positions 355 to 776 of the family's 1533-position model. The record is from RNAcentral.
UAAGGAAUAUUGGUCAAUGGACGAGAGUCUGAACCAGCCAUGCCGCGUGGAGGAUGAAGGUCCUCUGGAUUGUAAACUUCUUUUAUAUGGGACGAAAAAAGGUCUUUCUAGAUCAACUGACGGUACCAUAUGAAUAAGCACCGGCUAACUCCGUGCCAGCAGCCGCGGUAAUACGGAGGGUGCAAGCGUUAUCCGGAUUCACUGGGUUUAAAGGGUGCGUAGGUGGGUUGGUAAGUCAGUGGUGAAAUCCCCGAGCUUAACUUGGGAACUGCCAUUGAUACUAUCAGUCUUGAAUACCGUGGAGGUCGGCGGAAUAUGUCAUGUAGCGGUGAAAUGCUUAGAUAUGACAUAGAACACCAAUUGCGAAGGCAGCUGACUACGCGAGUAUUGACACUGAGGCACGAAAGCGUGGGGAUCAAACAGG